UGCGGUUAAACAAAUAACGCUAUUAUUUUUUUUUGGUUUUUAAUAUUUAGUUAAUAAUAAUAAAUUUUUAUUUAUUAAAAUAUUGGGUGAAAUCCUAUUUUUUAUUUAAUUAAUUUUUUGUUUCUGAGGCUGAGAAAUCUAGGUUUAUAAACUGGGAUUAGAUACCCCAUUAUUCUUUAUGUGGAUUGUUAACCUAAUGAGUAUAAGUUAUGUUCUUUAAAUUUAAUAAAUUUGGCGGUGUUUUAUUCCAAUCAGGGGAAUCUGUUCUGUAAUCGAUAGUCCACGAUUAAUAUAACUUAUUUUUGCUUGUAUAUCGUCGUUGAAAAUUAUUUUUUGAAAUAUAUAAUUUUGUAAUUUUAUUUUAUUUAAAAUCAGAUCAAGGUGCAGUUAUUUAUAAGUAGAAAUGGAUUACAAUAAAUUUAUUUAAGGAUGGAUUUUUAAUAAAGGUCGUGAAUUUGGAUUUGAAUGUAAUUUUGAUUUUUAAUCAAGGUGAAUUAGGCUCUAAGAUGUGU
Molecule: ribosomal RNA, 512 nt
Filed under: Taophila sp. JGZ05-2021
Lineage: Eukaryota; Metazoa; Arthropoda; Insecta; Coleoptera; Chrysomelidae
Description: partial 12S ribosomal RNA
Source: RNAcentral